UGACAAAUCCAGCAUCAGUUUAAAGAGAUGUUUAAUUAGCAUUCUACAUUACCAUGACAAAUCCAGCAUCAGUUUAAAGAGAUGUUUAAUUAGCAUUCUACAUUACCAUGACAAAUCCAGCAUCAGUUUAAAGAGAUGUUUAAUUAGCAUUCUACAUUACCAUGACAAAUCCAGCAUCAGUUUAAAGAGAUGUUUAAUUAGCAUUCUACAUUACCAUGACAAAUCCAGCAUCAGUUUAAAGAGAUGUUUAAUUAGCAUUCUACAUUACCAUGACAAAUCCAGCAUCAGUUUAAAGAGAUGUUUAAUUAGUAUUCUACAUUACCAUGACAAAUCCAGCAUCAGUUUAAAGAGAUGUUUAAUUAGCAUUCUACAUUACCAUGACAAAUCCAGCAUCAGUUUAAAGAGAUGUUUAAUUAGCAUUCUACAUUACCAUGACAAAUCCAGCAUCAGUUUAAAGAGAUGUUUAAUUAGCAUUCUACAUUACCAUGACAAAUCCAGCAUCAGUUUAAAGAGAUGUUUAAUUAGCAUUCUACAUUACCAUGACAAAUCCAGCAUCAGUUUUAAGAGAUGUUUAAUUAGCAUUCUACAUUACCAUGACAAAUCCAGCAUCAGUUUUAAGAGAUGUUUAAUUAGCAUUCUACAUUACCAUGACAAAUCCAGCAUCAGUUUAAAGAGAUGUUUAAUUAGUAUUCUACAUUACCAUGACAAAUCCAGCAUCAGUUUAAAGAGAUGUUUAAUUAGUAUGGAAAUGAUGGCAUCACAACACCAGGCAGCCAUUGGAGUGACCCAUUAUUUUCUCGUUAAGAGGGUUCAAUAUCUUUCUAUUCAUUUCAAUUUCACAGUAUGAACAACAUGACUGGCAUUGUGGAACUGGGUCUACAUGGAUUUUAAUGUAAUUUAUGUCAAAGUAG
Molecule: long non-coding RNA, 911 nt
Organism: Oncorhynchus keta (chum salmon)
Lineage: Eukaryota; Metazoa; Chordata; Actinopteri; Salmoniformes; Salmonidae
Exons: 2
Source: RefSeq, a predicted model, not a curated record